RNAcentral lists this ribosomal RNA (454 nucleotides) under uncultured bacterium. RNAcentral's name for it is "bacterial SSU rRNA". It matches the Rfam family "Bacterial small subunit ribosomal RNA", at positions 28 to 524 of the family's 1533-position model. The record is from RNAcentral.
GACGAACGCUGGCGGUGUGCUUCACACAUGCAAGUCGAACGAGGUAGCAAUACCUAGUGGCGGACGGGUGAGUAACGCGUGGGAAUCUGCCCAUAGGUGGGGGAUAACUAGCCGAAAGGUUAGCUAAUACCGCAUACGCCGAAAGGUAAAAGGAGUAAUCCGCCUUUGGAUGAGCCCGCGUCCGAUUAGCUAGUUGGUAGAGUAAAAGCCUACCAAGGCGACGAUCGGUAGCUGGUCUGAGAGGAUGAUCAGCCACAAUGGGACUGAGACACGGCCCAUACUCCUACGGGAGGCAGCAGUGGGGAAUUUUACGCAAUGGGGGAAACCCUGACGUAGCGACACCGCGUGAAUGAAGAAGCCCUUUGGGGUGUAAAAAUUCUGUCGGCUGGGAAGAAAAAAUGACGGCACCAGCAAAGGAAGCAUCGGCUAACUACGUGCCAGCAGCCGCGGUAAU